GAUGAACGCUGGCGGCGUGCCUAAUACAUGCAAGUCGAGCGAACAGACGAGGAGCUUGCUCCUCUGACGUUAGCGGCGGACGGGUGAGUAACACGUGGAUAACCUACCUAUAAGACUGGGAUAACUUCGGGAAACCGGAGCUAAUACCGGAUAAUAUAUUGAACCGCAUGGUUCAAUAGUGAAAUACGGUUUUGCUGUCACUUAUAGAUGGAUCCGCGCCGCAUUAGCUAGUUGGUAAGGUAACGGCUUACCAAGGCAACGAUGCGUAGCCGACCUGAGAGGGUGAUAGGCCACACUGGAACUGAGACACGGUCCAGACUCCUACGGGAGGGAGCAGUAGGGAAUCUUACGCAAUGGGCGAAAGCCUGACAGAGCAACGCCGCGUGAGUGAUGAAGGUCUUCGGAUCGUAAAACUCUGUUAUUAGGGAAGAACAAAUGUGUAAGUAACUAUGCACGUCUUGACGGUACCUAAUCAGAAAGCCACGGCUAACUACGUG
RNAcentral lists this ribosomal RNA (497 nucleotides) under uncultured bacterium. RNAcentral's name for it is "partial 16S ribosomal RNA". It matches the Rfam family "Bacterial small subunit ribosomal RNA", at positions 28 to 507 of the family's 1533-position model. The record is from RNAcentral.